AAGCGAGCUGCGCUGCUCAGUCGAGCAUAGCAAGUGGGUGUGUGCGCCUGGAACACCGCAGUAGCAGAGUGUGUUUUUGUGUCUAGUGGCUAUUAGCCAUAAAGCGUGGCUAGCGCUUUGCUAGCGAGUGAGUACUUCAUGGCUUUGUAUGGACUGUGAAGCCCGCUGAGGACUCCGGAUAGCACGCUGGGGAGCGGAGGGGCACGGCAGCGCCUAGGACACCGAAGGAAACCAGCUGUUUCCAUCGUCAUCACCGCCGAGACGGGAUAUUUUGACUUUCUCUCAUCUUGAGACUGAGGCGGGAUUGUUUCUGUGCCAUCGGAGUAAGGACUUGGACUUUUCUCUGGGUUGGUGCCCCCCUCCCAUUGCUGCUGGACAUGUACAGGAAGCACUGCAUCUGCAGAGCGGCAGCCAUCUUCAAGGACACUCACCACCCUUCUCACAGCCUGUUCUCCCUGCUGCCAUCUGGAAAUAGACUCAGGAGUAUCUGCUGUAAGACGAGUAGAUUCAUAAACAGCUUUUUCCUCCAGGCUGUGAGAGCACUAAACUCUGAAACGAACACUUGCACACUGAACAAACUGAACUGAACUAACCCGCUGUUAAAAAACUCUGACUGUUCUGCACACUUAUUGCACAUUUGCUCAACGUUGCUGCCGUUGUUUGUUUUUUAAAAAAAAUCUAUUUAUUAUUAUGUGAUUUCUUAUGUUUUUAUAUUUUAUGACCUGAUUUUGCACUGCUUUUAACCUAGGAGUACACUAUUUUGU
Molecule: long non-coding RNA, 764 nt
Organism: Myripristis murdjan (pinecone soldierfish)
Lineage: Eukaryota; Metazoa; Chordata; Actinopteri; Holocentriformes; Holocentridae
Exons: 3
Source: RefSeq, a predicted model, not a curated record